CUACGUGCCAGCAGCCGCGGUAAUACGGAAGGUCCAGGCGUUAUCCGGAUUUAUUGGGUUUAAAGGGAGCGUAGGCGGAUUGUUAAGUCAGCGGUUAAAGGGUGUGGCUCAACCAUGCAUUGCCGUUGAAACUGGCGAUCUUGAGUGCAGACAGGGAUGCCGGAAUUCGUGGUGUAGCGGUGAAAUGCUUAGAUAUCACGAAGAACUCCGAUCGCGAAGGCAGGUGUCCGGGCUGCAACUGACGCUGAGGCUCGAAAGUGUGGGUAUCAAACAGGAUUAGAUACCCUGGUAGUCCACGCAGUAAACGAUGAUUACUAGGAGUUUGCGAUAUACCGUCAAGCUUCCACAGCGAAAGCGUUAAGUAAUCCACCUGGGGAGUACGCCGGCAACGGUGAAACUCAAAGGAAUUGACGGGGGCCCGCACAAGCGGAGGAACAUGUGGUUUAAUUCGAUGAUACGCGAGGAACCUUACCCGGGAUUGAA
Molecule: ribosomal RNA, 483 nt
Filed under: uncultured bacterium
Lineage: Bacteria
Description: bacterial SSU rRNA
Rfam family: Bacterial small subunit ribosomal RNA
Source: RNAcentral